UUGGAGGGCAAGUCUGGUGCCAGCAGCCGCGGUAAUUCCAGCUCCAAUAGCGUAUAUUAAAGUUGUUGCAGUUAAAAAGCUCGUAGUUGAAUUUCGGGAUCAAUAUUUCGGUCAUGCCGUUGGUAUGCACUGUUAUAAUUGAUUUCUCACCUUCUAAAGAACCGUAAUGCCAUUAAUUUGGUGUUACGGGGAAUUAGGACUGUUACCUUGAAAAAAUUAGAGUGUUUAAAGCAGGCUCACGCUUGAAUACAUUAGCAUGGAAUAAUGAAAUAGGACAUCCGAUUCUAUUUUGUUGGUUUCUAGGAUCGAUGUAAUGAUUAAUAGGGAUAGUUGGGGGCAUUAGUAUUCAAUUGUCAGAGGUGAAAUUCUUGGAUUUAUUGAAGACUAACUACUGCGAAAGCAUUUGCCAAGGAUGUUUUCAUUAAUCAAGAACGAAAGUUAGGGGAUCGAAGACGAUCAGAUACCGUCGUAGUCUUAACCAUAAACUACGCCGACUAGGGAUCGGAUGAUGUUAAUUUUUUAAUGACUCAUUCGGCGCCUUACGGGAAAC
This 550-nucleotide ribosomal RNA is filed under the name uncultured Glomus. RNAcentral describes it as "SSU rRNA". It matches the Rfam family "Eukaryotic small subunit ribosomal RNA", at positions 548 to 1098 of the family's 1831-position model. The record is from RNAcentral. Lineage: Eukaryota; Fungi; Glomeromycota; Glomeromycetes; Glomerales; Glomeraceae.